GCGGAAGAGGGAAUUAUGACGAAGGCGGAGCUUGAGUGCGCCUCGGCCAGAAGACCCGCGGGUGCGCACGAGAGAGGAAGGCAGCGCGUCGUCUCCUUCAUUAACGCUACAAAUGUCAAAUACAACGAGAUAACUAGUCGCCAAAAAGAAAGCAUGGAGGAGUUACUUUCAUUGAAGUGGAACAACCACCGUUCCACUUUCCUCCACAUUUUGGGAGUUCUCAGGGACAAGCAAUCAUACACGGAUGUGACUCUGGCAUGUGAUGGCAAGUUCUACAGUGUGCAUAAGCUGGUGUUGUCAACAUGUAGUGACUAUUUCUGUGCCAUGUUUGAGAAGACUGCUUGUAAAAGCCCUGUUAUAGUGUUAAAAGAUAUUAAAUGUGAGGACCUUGAGGCCUUGCUAGACUAUAUGUACCUUGGUGAAGUGAAUGUAAGGCAAAGUGACCUAGCGUCUUUGAUAAAGGCUGCCGAAAAUUUACGCAUCAAGGGUCUCGCAGUACCUGAUGAUGAACCUUCUAAUAAAGUUCCGGCGACGUCUGCACCAAACAGAGCUGAACCGGCGAGGAGAGAAGGAGGGAUUGGUAGCCCUCCUGCCAAGCGGAAAAGAAGAGAUGAGGGUGAAGACGGCAGGGAAGAUGUAAGACCGCAGGCCAGUGGUGGCUUACAAACCCCCCCUCCUCCUCCGUCUAGACCAAAGAGCCCUAUUGCCCAGCGCCUGAGCCCUUCCCCCCACAGAACCUCUCAGGAAUCCCCUGCAACAGAUGAUCGUGUCAGCCGUCCCCUCUCGUCGCCAGCAGAAAACCCUGCCUCGUCUCAUGUCACGGCACAAUCUUCCGCGCACACCACUGCGUCACAAGCGCAAGCCAGUAAUCAGUUUAGAUCAGAAGAGACUCCCUCCUUUGUCAAAGUGGAAAUGGAGGAAGAAAGUGCCAACGAGAUGCCUGGAGACUCCUACGACCUCAGCGCGGACGGUUACAAGGAAGAAGGCGACGAUUCUGGAAGUGGAGUGAAUAAUGAUUUACCUGAGUUCCUACAAGCAGCAGCCACUGGAGCCUUAGCUGGUAGCACAGCCUCGUACCCUCACCCUUCCUUUGCCGGGCCCUCUGGCUACCAGCCGGGAGACCUGGCGGGCUGGCAGGGUGAUGGAUCGUCCAUAGGCUUCCCUGCACAUCUUAACUUUAGCACCUCAGACAGUUCUAGUCAACAGAAUGCACCCGGGGAUGUUGGGGUGGGCCAGGUCGGUGUAAUGGGGAUUGAAAAUCACAGCUGGUCAAGAGCGGAAGGGAAGGCACAAGGGAGACGCAACGUUUGCCCUCAUUGUGGAAAGAGUUUUGCUUACCCAAAAGACCUACGUCGACACAUUCUGACGCACACAGGGGAGAAGCCGUUUGGGUGUCCGUUUUGCAGUCAUAGAGCCAAUCAUAAGAGCAACUUGAAGAUGCACAUAUUCUGUGGCAUGGGGAUAGAUGAAGUCGGUGCAAUGGGAAGUUUGAGUCUUAGUAGACUGAGAGCUGUUGUGAGUACCCACCCCAAGCGACACUUGUGUCCCUUCUGUGGCAAGGGCUUUCAGUCGCCCAAGGACCUACGGCGACAUAUUCUGACUCACACUGGGGAGAAGCCCUAUCUCUGCCCGUACUGCAAUCACAGAGCUAAUCAGAAGAGCAACUUGAAGUCUCAUAUGCUGUGUGUUCAUAACAAAGACGAUUCCUGAAUCUGGCAAGUUGCGGUUGCGGUUGUUCUAGGAACGUGUCAGACCUCGAGGGCAUGGGUGUUCGUGAAAUGGAAAGUAUGAGUGACAGUAGACUGAGAAUCAUCUUGGGUUCCCACAGCAAGAAACACUUGUGCACCCACUGUGGCAAGAGCUUUCAGUCCCCCAA
This 1876-nucleotide unclassified non-coding RNA is filed under the name Penaeus chinensis. RNAcentral's name for it is "longitudinals lacking protein, isoforms A/B/D/L-like, transcript variant X29". The record is from RNAcentral. Lineage: Eukaryota; Metazoa; Arthropoda; Malacostraca; Decapoda; Penaeidae.